Long non-coding RNA from Acyrthosiphon pisum (pea aphid), 479 nucleotides. RefSeq lists it as uncharacterized. The record is from RefSeq and is a predicted model, not a curated record. The transcript has 4 exons. NCBI's taxonomy places the organism in Eukaryota, Metazoa, Arthropoda, Insecta, Hemiptera, Aphididae.
CUAUAUCUAUAUUAUUCAUGUAUUAAGAAAAUAUUAUCAUUAUUUAUUAUAAUCAUGAUUUUAUGUAGCUAUGUAAGUCCGUUUUCGAAUGUUUUAUAAAAAAUGUCCUUAAAGAAAUAAUAGUUUCGCAAAUCUUUGCCCCUUUACAUACCUACUCUGAAGGAACUAAACUAAGUACAAAGCCCGUUUUUAGUUUUCACUUAGCAGAGAAAAAUAUAUUCGUGUGAGUUUUAACGUGUUAUAAAGGAAACUUUAAAAAUAUGUAUUUAUAAUAUUAAAACUAGGUACCUAUCUUAUUUUAUUUUGUAGGUUUAGAACAUCAACAAGAUAGAGUCAAAGUCCUUGCUAAUUGGGAAGAUCUUAAAACACAAUUCUAUGAGGAACUGUCACAGAGUAUACACGAAAUGAAGUAUUCUGAAGAAUAUCUUACUGCAUCAAAAUUUUGCGAGAAAACAAAAGCCGAAGAAAGAAAAAAAAAU